Molecule: long non-coding RNA, 557 nt
Organism: Cuculus canorus (common cuckoo)
Lineage: Eukaryota; Metazoa; Chordata; Aves; Cuculiformes; Cuculidae
Exons: 3
Source: RefSeq, a predicted model, not a curated record
UGUUCUGCUGUGUUCGUGUUCGCCGGAGCCAGAAUAAAUCCUGCUUUUGAUUUUCUCCCUGGGAGCGUCCUUGUUGGCCUCCGGAUCGCCGCAGGGAGAAACGAACCCCCCCAGUCCGGUCUGGGCGGAGCGUGUGCUCGGGGGUCCGGGGGGACACCUUCUCAGCUGCCUUUGGCAGUGGGAGGGAAGGGGAGGAAUGGUUGUCUUUGUGCCCGUAAACAAUGGCCCAUGAGGACGCGUAAUGCUGCCCCUAACGACCCUCGCGAUGGGCUGUGAGGGGGAAAGAGGAAACCUUAAUGAGUGUCUAAAAAGAGGCACAACCAUCCACUGCUGUGAAGGCAGAAGGUACUGCAGAGACUCAGAGCCUGAUGAGGAUCAAGGAAUGGAGGUAGUUUGUGGAGUCAGAGCCCUUCAGUGUGGGAAUAGAGGAGGUUUUUGACAUCCUGCCACUGUACAGUGUGCUGCAGCCGAGUGAGAGCCAGCGGGUCAUGUUCCCCCUCUUUGGCCGUGCAGAUAUUGUCGCCCACGUCAUGGCACUGUGCAGGGUGGAGGGAGGC